RNAcentral lists this ribosomal RNA (493 nucleotides) under Klebsiella sp. Its description in RNAcentral is "bacterial SSU rRNA". It matches the Rfam family "Bacterial small subunit ribosomal RNA", at positions 876 to 1369 of the family's 1533-position model. The record is from RNAcentral. Lineage: Bacteria; Pseudomonadati; Pseudomonadota; Gammaproteobacteria; Enterobacterales; Enterobacteriaceae.
GGGAGUACGGCCGCAAGGUUAAAACUCAAAUGAAUUGACGGGGGCCCGCACAAGCGGUGGAGCAUGUGGUUUAAUUCGAUGCAACGCGAAGAACCUUACCUGGUCUUGACAUCCACAGAACUUUCCAGAGAUGGAUUGGUGCCUUCGGGAACUGUGAGACAGGUGCUGCAUGGCUGUCGUCAGCUCGUGUUGUGAAAUGUUGGGUUAAGUCCCGCAACGAGCGCAACCCUUAUCCUUUGUUGCCAGCGGUUCGGCCGGGAACUCAAAGGAGACUGCCAGUGAUAAACUGGAGGAAGGUGGGGAUGACGUCAAGUCAUCAUGGCCCUUACGACCAGGGCUACACACGUGCUACAAUGGCAUAUACAAAGAGAAGCGACCUCGCGAGAGCAAGCGGACCUCAUAAAGUAUGUCGUAGUCCGGAUUGGAGUCUGCAACUCGACUCCAUGAAGUCGGAAUCGCUAGUAAUCGUAGAUCAGAAUGCUACGGUGAAUAC